UUGUCCGGAAUUAUUGGGCGUAAAGAGCUUGUAGGCGGUCUGUCGCGUCUGCUGUGAAAAUCCGGGGCUCAACCCCGGACUUGCAGUGGGUACGGGCAGACUAGAGUGUGGUAGGGGAGACUGGAAUUCCUGGUGUAGCGGUGAAAUGCGCAGAUAUCAGGAGGAACACCGAUGGCGAAGGCAGGUCUCUGGGCCACUACUGACGCUGAGAAGCGAAAGCAUGGGGAGCGAACAGG
This 236-nucleotide ribosomal RNA is filed under the name uncultured bacterium. Its description in RNAcentral is "partial 16S ribosomal RNA". It matches the Rfam family "Bacterial small subunit ribosomal RNA", at positions 541 to 776 of the family's 1533-position model. The record is from RNAcentral.